GUGGGGAAUAUUGGGCAAUGGGCGAAAGCCUGACCCAGCAACGCCGCGUGAAGGAAGAAGGUCUUCGGAUCGUAAACUUCUAUCCUUGGUGAAGAUAAUGACGGUAGCCGAGAAGGAAGCCCCGGCUAACUACGUGCCAGCAGCCGCGGUAAUACGUAGGGGGCAAGCGUUGUCCGGAAUGAUUGGGCGUAAAGGGCGCGUAGGCGGCCUGGUAAGUCUGGAGUGAAAGUCCUGCUUUUAAGGUGGGAAUUGCUUUGGAUACUGUCGGGCUUGAGUGCAGGAGAGGUAAGUGGAAUUCCCGGUGUAGCGGUGAAAUGCGUAGAGAUCGGGAGGAACACCAGUGGCGAAGGCGACUUACUGGACUGUAACUGACGCUGAGGCGCGAAAGUGUGGGGAGCAAACAGGAUUAGAUACCCUUGUAGUCC
RNAcentral lists this ribosomal RNA (425 nucleotides) under uncultured bacterium. Its description in RNAcentral is "partial 16S ribosomal RNA". It matches the Rfam family "Bacterial small subunit ribosomal RNA", at positions 354 to 796 of the family's 1533-position model. The record is from RNAcentral.